AGCUUUACACAGUGGCAGAAUCAUAGCCUAUGAGGUUUAUCUGAGGCACAAUUAUUGCUAACUGAAAACUUUUCCCCAAUACCCUGCCACGAUGACUUGAAAUAUAGUUGGUGUUAAUAAAGUAA
Molecule: small nuclear RNA, 125 nt
Filed under: Salvator merianae (Argentine black and white tegu)
Lineage: Eukaryota; Metazoa; Chordata; Lepidosauria; Squamata; Teiidae
Description: U4 spliceosomal RNA (ENSSMRG00000007055.1)
Rfam family: U4 spliceosomal RNA
About the family: U4 small nuclear RNA (U4 snRNA) is a component of the major U2-dependent spliceosome. The structure of U4 snRNA from yeast and human has been reported.
Source: RNAcentral